This 196-nucleotide unclassified non-coding RNA is filed under the name uncultured Scopuloides. RNAcentral's name for it is "sequence contains ITS2". The record is from RNAcentral. Lineage: Eukaryota; Fungi; Basidiomycota; Agaricomycetes; Polyporales; Meruliaceae.
UAUUCUCAACUCUACAAAGCUUUUGCAAUGAAGAGUUGGAUUUGGAGGUAGUGUCGGCUUGAAAGAGUUGACUCCUCUUAAAUGCAUCAGUGUGAACCAUUACGGAUCGCCUUCAGUGUGAUAAUGUCUACGCUGUGGUGUUGAAGUAUCUCUAGUGCUCAUGCUUCUAACAGUCCUUUCAUGGACAACUUUGACA